Molecule: ribosomal RNA, 343 nt
Filed under: uncultured eukaryote
Lineage: Eukaryota
Description: partial 18S ribosomal RNA
Rfam family: Eukaryotic small subunit ribosomal RNA
Source: RNAcentral
CCCUUAGAUGUUCUGGGCCGCACGCGCGCUACAAUGGUUCAGACAACGAGUGGGCGUCGUCUUAGUGAUGAUGACCUUGGCUGAAAAGCCUGGGUAAUCUUGUAAACUGAAUCGUGAUGGGGAUUGAUCUUUGUAAUUUUCGAUCAUGAACGAGGAAUUCCUAGUAAACGCGCGUCAUCAACGCGCAUUGAUUACGUCCCUGCCCUUUGUACACACCGCCCGUCGCUCCUACCGAUUGGGUGAUAUGGUGAGUUGUUUGGAAGUUUUUUGUUUGUGGGCAACUGCGGACGGGGGACUGAAGUUCUGCAAAUCUUAUCAUCUAGAGGAAGGAGAANUCGUAACA